Molecule: ribosomal RNA, 307 nt
Filed under: uncultured eukaryote
Lineage: Eukaryota
Description: partial 18S ribosomal RNA
Rfam family: Eukaryotic small subunit ribosomal RNA
Source: RNAcentral
CCCUUAGACGUUCUGGGCCGCACGCGCGCUACACUGACGAAGGCAACGAGCUUUCCUUUACCGAAAGGUACGGGUAAUCUUUUGAAACUUCGUCGUGCUGGGGAUAGAUCCUUGCAAUUUUUGAUCUUAAACGAGGAAUGCCUAGUAAGCGCAAGUCAUCAACUUGCGUUGAUUACGUCCCUGCCCUUUGUACACACCGCCCGUCGCUACUACUGAUUGAAUGGUUUAGUGAGGCCUUCGGAUCCGCGACUCGUUUGUGGAGAAGUUGGACAAACUCAGUCAUUUAGAGGAAGUAAAAGUCGUAACA